RNAcentral lists this ribosomal RNA (316 nucleotides) under uncultured eukaryote. Its description in RNAcentral is "partial large subunit ribosomal RNA". It matches the Rfam family "Eukaryotic large subunit ribosomal RNA", at positions 40 to 349 of the family's 3401-position model. The record is from RNAcentral.
AUAUCAGUAAGCGGAGGAAAAGAAACUAACAAGGAUUCCCCUAGUAACGGCGAGUGAAGCGGGAAAAGCUCAAAGUGAAAAUCGUUUCCCCAAACGGGGUGGCGAGUUGUAAUCUACAGACCUAUCGUUAGCGGACGACCCGGGUAUAACUCUUUUGGAACAAGGGAUCAGAGAGGGUGAGAAUCCCGUCUUUGACCCGGAGUUCGCCGCGUACAACCUAGGUUCGAAGAGUCGAGUAGGUUGGGAUUCCUGCUCAAAAUGGGUGGUAAAUUUCAUCUAAAGCUAAAUACGGGCGAGAGACCGAUAGCGCACAAGU